Molecule: ribosomal RNA, 301 nt
Filed under: uncultured bacterium
Lineage: Bacteria
Description: partial 16S ribosomal RNA
Rfam family: Bacterial small subunit ribosomal RNA
Source: RNAcentral
CAGCACCGCGGUAAUACGUAGGGUGCAAGCGUUAAUCGGAAUUACUGGGCGUAAAGCGUGCGCAGGCGGUUAUAUAAGACAGAUGUGAAAUCCCCGGGCUCAACCUGGGAACUGCAUUUGUGACUGUAGAGCUGGAGUGCGGCAGAGGGGGAUGGAAUUCCGCGUGUAGCAGUGAAAUGCGUAGAUAUGCGGAAGAACACCGAUGGCGAAGGCAAUCCCCUGGGCCUGCACUGACGCUCAUGCACGAAAGCGGGGGGAGCAAACAGGAUUAGAUACCCCUGUAGUCCCUGUCUCUUAUACA